GCGGACGGGUGAGGAAUACAUCGGAAUCUACUUUUUCGUGGGGGAUAACGUAGGGAAACUUACGCUAAUACCGCAUACGACCUACGGGUGAAAGCAGGGGACCUUCGGGCCUUGCGCGAUUGAAUGAGCCGAUGUCGGAUUAGCUAGUUGGCGGGGUAAAGGCCCACCAAGGCGACGAUCCGUAGCUGGUCUGAGAGGAUGAUCAGCCACACUGGAACUGAGACACGGUCCAGACUCCUACGGGAGGCAGCAGUGGGGAAUAUUGGACAAUGGGCGCAAGCCUGAUCCAGCCAUACCGCGUGGGUGAAGAAGGCCUUCGGGUUGUAAAGCCCUUUUGUUGGGAAAGAAAUCCAGCCGGUUAAUACCUGGUUGG
RNAcentral lists this ribosomal RNA (373 nucleotides) under Stenotrophomonas sp. RNAcentral's name for it is "bacterial SSU rRNA". It matches the Rfam family "Bacterial small subunit ribosomal RNA", at positions 98 to 472 of the family's 1533-position model. Lineage: Bacteria; Pseudomonadati; Pseudomonadota; Gammaproteobacteria; Lysobacterales; Lysobacteraceae. The record is from RNAcentral.